UAUGGUGAUUAUAGCGAUGGGGUCCACCUCUUCCCAUUCCGAACAGAGAAGUUAAGCCCGCCAGCGCAGAUGGUACUGCAUUUAUUGUGGGAUAGUAUGUCGUUGCCGUAA
RNAcentral lists this ribosomal RNA (111 nucleotides) under Bacteroidota bacterium. Lineage: Bacteria; Pseudomonadati; Bacteroidota. The record is from RNAcentral.